AUUGAACGCUGGCGGCAUGCCUUACACAUGCAAGUCGAACGGUAACGGGCCUUCGGGUGCCGACGAGUGGCGAACGGGUGAGUAAUACAUCGGAACGUGCCCGAUCGUGGGGGAUAACGAGGCGAAAGCUUUGCUAAUACCGCAUACGAUCUACGGAUGAAAGCAGGGGACCGCAAGGCCUUGCGCGGACGGAGCGGCCGAUGGCAGAUUAGGUAGUUGGUGGGAUAAAAGCUUACAAAGCCGACGAUCUGUAGCUGGUCUGAGAGGAUGAUCAGCCACACUGGGACUGAGACACGGCCCAGACUCCUACGGGAGGCAGCAGUGGGGAAUUUUGGACAAUGGGCGCAAGCCUGAUCCAGCCAUGCCGCGUGCAGGAUGAAGGCCUUCGGGUUGUAAACUGCUUUUGUACGGAACGAAAAGCCUUCUUUUAAUACAGGAGGGUCAUGACGGUACCGUAAGAAUAAGCACCGGCUAACUACGUG
This 482-nucleotide ribosomal RNA is filed under the name uncultured bacterium. RNAcentral describes it as "partial 16S ribosomal RNA". It matches the Rfam family "Bacterial small subunit ribosomal RNA", at positions 30 to 507 of the family's 1533-position model. The record is from RNAcentral.